AAGAUCGAAGAUGAUGAUCUCAUCAGUUACAUCUUAAAUGGACUGGACUCUGACAAUAAUCCAUUUGUCUCAGUAUUGAUC
Molecule: small nucleolar RNA, 81 nt
Filed under: Setaria italica (foxtail millet)
Lineage: Eukaryota; Viridiplantae; Streptophyta; Magnoliopsida; Poales; Poaceae
Description: Small nucleolar RNA Z247
Rfam family: Small nucleolar RNA Z247
About the family: Z247 is a member of the C/D class of snoRNA which contain the C (UGAUGA) and D (CUGA) box motifs. Most of the members of the box C/D family function in directing site-specific 2'-O-methylation of substrate RNAs.
Source: Rfam by way of RNAcentral